UACGUAGGGGGCUAGCGUUGUCCGGAAUCAUUGGGCGUAAAGAGCGUGUAGGCGGCCCGGUAAGUCCGCUGUGAAAGUCGGGGGCUCAACCCUCGAAUGCCGGUGGAUACUGUCGGGCUCGAGUGCGGAAGAGGCGAGUGGAAUUCCUGGUGUAGCGGUGAAAUGCGCAGAUAUCAGGAGGAACACCAAUUGCGAAGGCAGCUCGCUGGGACGUUACUGACGCUGAGACGCGAAAGCGUGGGGAGCAAACAGG
Molecule: ribosomal RNA, 253 nt
Filed under: uncultured bacterium
Lineage: Bacteria
Description: partial 16S ribosomal RNA
Rfam family: Bacterial small subunit ribosomal RNA
Source: RNAcentral